GGGGAGUAUGGCUGCAAAGCCGAAACCUGAAGGAAUUGACGGAAGGGCACCACCAGGAGUGGAGCCUGCAGCCCAAUUUGACUCAACAUGGGAAACCUCACCCGGCCCGGACACGGACAGGAUUGACAGAUCGAUAGCUCCCUCUCGAUUCCGCGGGUGGUGGUGCAUGGCCGUUCCCAGUUGGUGGAGUGAUUUGUCUGAUCAAUUCUGGGCAUGCUAACUAGUUACGCGACCCCCGAGCGGUUGGUGUCCCUCAACUUCUCAGAGGGACAAGUGGCGUUCAGCCACCCGAGAUUGAGCAACGACAGGUCUGUGAUGCCCCCAGAUGUCCGGGGCUGCAUGCGCGCCACGCUGACUGGCUCAGCGUGUGCCCACCCCACGCCGGCAGGCGCGGGCAACCCGCUGAACCCCAUUCGUGAUGGGGAUCGGGGAUUGCAACUAUUCCCCAUGAACGAGGAAUUCCCAGUAAGUGCGGGUCAUACUUUCUUUUUUAAACAGGACUUUGGGUGGACA
Molecule: non-coding RNA, 513 nt
Filed under: Oryctolagus cuniculus (rabbit)
Lineage: Eukaryota; Metazoa; Chordata; Mammalia; Lagomorpha; Leporidae
Description: Eukaryotic small subunit ribosomal RNA
Rfam family: Eukaryotic small subunit ribosomal RNA
Source: Rfam by way of RNAcentral